RNAcentral lists this ribosomal RNA (468 nucleotides) under uncultured bacterium. RNAcentral describes it as "partial 16S ribosomal RNA". It matches the Rfam family "Bacterial small subunit ribosomal RNA", at positions 28 to 507 of the family's 1533-position model. The record is from RNAcentral.
GACGAACGCUGGCGGCGUGCUUAACACAUGCAAGUCGAACGGAAAGGCCCUGCUUUUGUGGGGUGCUCGAGUGGCGAACGGGUGAGUAACACGUGAGUAACCUGCCCUUGACUUUGGGAUAACUUCAGGAAACUGGGGCUAAUACCGGAUAGGAGCUCCUGCUGCAUGGUGGGGGUUGGAAAGUUUCGGCGGUUGGGGAUGGACUCGCGGCUUAUCAGCUUGUUGGUGGGGUAGUGGCUUACCAAGGCUUUGACGGGUAGCCGGCCUGAGAGGGUGACCGGCCACAUUGGGACUGAGAUACGGCCCAGACUCCUACGGGAGGCAGCAGUGGGGAAUAUUGCACAAUGGGCGGAAGCCUGAUGCAGCAACGCCGCGUGGGGGAUGACGGCCUUCGGGUGGUAAACCGCGUGAGCCUGUGACGAAGCGUGAGUGACGGUAAUGGGUAAAGAAGCACCGGCUAACUACGUG